CCUACGGGAGGCAGCAGUGGGGAAUAUUGGACAAUGGGGGCAACCCUGAUCCAGCCAUGCCGCGUGUGUGAAGAAGGCCCUCGGGUUGUAAAGCACUUUCAGUGAGGAAGAACGCCUGGUGGUUAAUACCCAUCAGGAAAGACAUCACUCACAGAAGAAGCACCGGCUAACUCCGUGCCAGCAGCCGCGGUAAUACGGAGGGUGCGAGCGUUAAUCGGAAUUACUGGGCGUAAAGCGCGCGUAGGUGGCUUGAUAAGCCGGUUGUGAAAGCCCCGGGCUCAACCUGGGAACGGCAUCCGGAACUGUCAAGCUAUAGUGCAGGAGAGGAAGGUAGAAUUCCCGGUGUAGCGGUGAAAUGCGUAGAGAUCGGGAGGAAUACCAGUGGCGAAGGCGGCCUUCUGGACUGACACUGACACUGAGGUGCGAAAGCGUGGGUAGCACACAGGAUUAGAUACCCGGGUAGUC
This 465-nucleotide ribosomal RNA is filed under the name Vreelandella stevensii. Its description in RNAcentral is "partial 16S ribosomal RNA". It matches the Rfam family "Bacterial small subunit ribosomal RNA", at positions 338 to 795 of the family's 1533-position model. Lineage: Bacteria; Pseudomonadati; Pseudomonadota; Gammaproteobacteria; Oceanospirillales; Halomonadaceae. The record is from RNAcentral.